Molecule: ribosomal RNA, 328 nt
Filed under: uncultured eukaryote
Lineage: Eukaryota
Description: partial 18S ribosomal RNA
Rfam family: Eukaryotic small subunit ribosomal RNA
Source: RNAcentral
CCCUUAGAUGUCCUGGGCCGCACGCGCGUUACACUGAUGCAUUCAACGAGCUUAUAACCUUGGCCGAGAGGCCUGGGCAAUCUUGUUAACGUGCAUCGUGAUAGGGAUAGAUUAUUGAAAUUAUUAAUCUUGAACGAGGAAUUCCUAGUAAACGCAGAUCAUCAAUCUGCAUUGAUUACGUCCCUGCCUUUUGUACACACCGCCCGUCGCACCUACCGAUUGGAUGGUCCGGUGAAGCCUCGGGAUUGUGGUUCUUGCCGCUUUAUUGUGGCGUGACCGCGAGAACUUGUCUAAACCUUAUCAUCUAGAGGAAGGUGAAGUCGUAACA